GUUUCAGCCGCCGCGGUAAUACGUAGGGUGCGAGCGUUGUCCGGAAUUAUUGGGCGUAAAGAGCUCGUAGGCGGUUUGUCGCGUCGACUGUGAAAACCUGGGGCUUAACUCUGGGCCUGCAGUCGAUACGGGCAGACUUGAGUUCGGUAGGGGAGACUGGAAUUCCUGGUGUAGCGGUGAAAUGCGCAGAUAUCAGGAGGAACACCGGUGGCGAAGGCGGGUCUCUGGGCCGAUACUGACGCUGAGGAGCGAAAGCGUGGGGAGCGAACAGGAUUAGAAACCCCAGUAGUCC
RNAcentral lists this ribosomal RNA (292 nucleotides) under uncultured bacterium. RNAcentral's name for it is "partial 16S ribosomal RNA". It matches the Rfam family "Bacterial small subunit ribosomal RNA", at positions 505 to 796 of the family's 1533-position model. The record is from RNAcentral.